This 469-nucleotide ribosomal RNA is filed under the name Bacillus sp. (in: firmicutes). Its description in RNAcentral is "bacterial SSU rRNA". It matches the Rfam family "Bacterial small subunit ribosomal RNA", at positions 125 to 580 of the family's 1533-position model. The record is from RNAcentral. Lineage: Bacteria; Bacillati; Bacillota; Bacilli; Caryophanales; Bacillaceae.
CCUGCCUAUAAGACUGGGAUAACUUCGGGAAACCGGAGCUAAUACCGGAUACGUUCUUUUCUCGCAUGAGAGAAGAUGGAAAGACGGUUUACGCUGUCACUUAUAGAUGGGCCCGCGGCGCAUUAGCUAGUUGGUGAGGUAAUGGCUCACCAAGGCGACGAUGCGUAGCCGACCUGAGAGGGUGAUCGGCCACACUGGGACUGAGACACGGCCCAGACUCCUACGGGAGGCAGCAGUAGGGAAUCUUCCGCAAUGGACGAAAGUCUGACGGAGCAACGCCGCGUGAACGAAGAAGGCCUUCGGGUCGUAAAGUUCUGUUGUUAGGGAAGAACAAGUACCAGAGUAACUGCUGGUACCUUGACGGUACCUAACCAGAAAGCCACGGCUAACUACGUGCCAGCAGCCGCGGUAAUACGUAGGUGGCAAGCGUUGUCCGGAAUUAUUGGGCGUAAAGCGCGCGCAGGUGGUU